This 495-nucleotide ribosomal RNA is filed under the name uncultured bacterium. RNAcentral's name for it is "bacterial SSU rRNA". It matches the Rfam family "Bacterial small subunit ribosomal RNA", at positions 66 to 543 of the family's 1533-position model. The record is from RNAcentral.
ACGCGGUCAGGGCUUCGGCCCUGACUGAGUGGCGAACGAGUGAGUAACACGUGGGUGACCUACCUUCGAGUGGGGGAUAACGUCCCGAAAGGGACGCUAAUACCGCAUAACAUCCCACCUUUGAACAGGUGGAGAUCAAAGCUGGGGAUCGCAAGACCUGGCGCUUGAUGAGGGGCCCGCGUCCGAUUAGCUAGUUGGUGGGGUAAUGGCUCACCAAGGCAACGAUCGGUAGCCGGCCUGAGAGGGCGGACGGCCACACUGGGACUGAGACACGGCCCAGGCUCCUACGGGAGGCAGCAGUGGGGAAUUGUUCGCAAUGGGCGCAAGCCUGACGACGCAACGCCGCGUGGAGGAUGAAGGUCUUCGGAUUGUAAACUCCUGUUGCUCGGGACGAAAUGCUCCAACCUAAUACGUUGGAGUUUGACGGUACCGAGUGAGGAAGCCCCGGCUAACUCUGUGCCAGCAGCCGCGGUAAUACAGAGGGGGCAAGCGUUG